RNAcentral lists this unclassified non-coding RNA (284 nucleotides) under Mucor circinelloides. RNAcentral describes it as "partial internal transcribed spacer region". The stretch from base 1 to 46 matches the Rfam family "Eukaryotic small subunit ribosomal RNA", at positions 1786 to 1831 of the family's 1831-position model. Lineage: Eukaryota; Fungi; Mucoromycota; Mucoromycetes; Mucorales; Mucoraceae. The record is from RNAcentral.
AAGUCGUAACAAGGUUUCCGUAGGUGAACCUGCGGAAGGAUCAUUAAAUAAUCAAUAAUUUUGGCUUGUCCAUUAUUAUCUAUUUACUGUGAACUGUAUUAUUACUUGACGCUUGAGGGAUGCUCCACUGCUAUAAGGAUAGGCGAUGGAGAUGCUAACCGAGUCAUAAUCAAGCUUAGGCUUGGUAUCCUAUUAUUAUUUACCAAAAGAAUUCAGAAUUAAUAUUGUAACAUAGACCUAAAAAAUCUAUAAAACAACUUUUAACAACGGAUCUCUUGGUUCUC